RNAcentral lists this ribosomal RNA (497 nucleotides) under uncultured bacterium. Its description in RNAcentral is "partial 16S ribosomal RNA". It matches the Rfam family "Bacterial small subunit ribosomal RNA", at positions 28 to 507 of the family's 1533-position model. The record is from RNAcentral.
GAUGAACGCUGGCGGCGUGCCUAAUACAUGCAAGUCGAGCGAACAGACGAGGAGCUUGCUCCUCUGACGUUAGCGGCGGACGGGUGAGUAACACGUGGAUAACCUACUUAUAAGACUGGGAUAACUUCGGGAAACCGGAGCUAAUACCGGAUAAUAUAUUGAACCGCAUGGUUCAAUAGUGAAAGCCGGUUUUGCUGUCACUUAUAGAUGGAUCCGCGCCGCAUUAGCUAGUUGGUAAGGUAACGGCUUACCAAGGCAACGAUGCGUAGCCGACCUGAGAGGGUGAUCGGCCACACUGGAACUGAGACACGGUCCAGACUCCUACGGGAGGCAGCAGUAGGGAAUCUUCCGCAAUGGGCGAAAGCCUGACGGAGCAACGCCGCGUGAGUGAUGAAGGUCUUCGGAUCGUAAAACUCUGUUAUUAGGGAAGAACAAAUGUGUAAGUAACUAUGCACGUCUUGACGGUACCUAAUCAGAAAGCCACGGCUAACUACGUG